This 310-nucleotide long non-coding RNA is filed under the name Linum usitatissimum (flax). RNAcentral's name for it is "long non-coding RNA (LUSI_LNC005972)". Lineage: Eukaryota; Viridiplantae; Streptophyta; Magnoliopsida; Malpighiales; Linaceae. The record is from RNAcentral.
GACUGUAAUUGCUUCGGGCUAGAGCCCUGUGCUUGUAGGAGUCCUCAGAAGUCAUAGUUUCAGUUUAGACCAUUUAUAAUUCCUUAUUGUAGUGUUUGUAAGCUCCUAGUUUUGGAGGCAGCAUAUAACUGACAAGGCCAGGUCAAAUAUUGGUGGCUGGUUUUGAGGUAACCAUACUAAUUUCCAGCGCUUAAACUUUAUCCAAAAAAACAUUCCAGCGCUUAAACUUUAUCAAAAAAAAAAAAUUCCAGCACUUCAACUUUAUCCAAAAAAAAAUUCCAGUUUCAGUAUAUCCAGAAUUUCCACUUUC